RNAcentral lists this ribosomal RNA (425 nucleotides) under uncultured bacterium. RNAcentral describes it as "partial 16S ribosomal RNA". It matches the Rfam family "Bacterial small subunit ribosomal RNA", at positions 354 to 796 of the family's 1533-position model. The record is from RNAcentral.
GUUAGGAAUAUUGGACAAUGGGCGCAAGCCUGAUCCAGCCAUGCCGCGUGAGUGAUGAAGGCCUUCGGGUUGUAAAGCUCUUUAGCCGAUGAUUAUAAUGACUGUAGUCGGAAAAUAAGCCCCGGCUAACUUCGUGUCAGCAGCCGCGGUAAUACGAAGGGGGCGAGCGUUAUUCGGAAUCACUGGGCGUAAAGCGUGCGUAGGCGGCUUUGCAAGUUGGGAGUGAAAGCCCAGGGCUCAACCCUGGAAUUGCUCUCAAAACUGCAAGGCUCGAAUUCGGGAGAGGAUAGCGGAAUUGUCAGUGUAGCAGUGAAAUGCGUAGAUAUUGACAGGAACACCAGUGGCGUAAGCGGCUAUCUGGACCGAUAUUGACGCUGAGGCACGAAAGCGUGGGGAUCAAACAGGAUUAGAAACCCGGGUAGUCC